UACGUAGGGGGCAAGCGUUGUCCGGAAUCACUGGGCGUAAAGGGCGCGUAGGCGGUAUAUUAAGUCAGGUGUGAAAGUUUUCGGCUCAACCGGAAAAGUGCACUUGAAACUAAUAGACUUGAGUACUGGAGAGGUAAGCGGAAUUCCUAGUGUAGCGGUGAAAUGCGUAGAUAUUAGGAGGAACACCGGUGGCGAAGGCGGCUUACUGGACAGAGACUGACGCUGAGGCGCGAAAGCGUGGGGAGCAAACAGGAUUAGAUACCCUGGUAGUCCACGCCGUAAACGAUGAGUAUUAGGUGUUGGUGAGAAUCAGUGCCGGAGUUAACACAAUAAAUACUCCGCCUGGGGAGUACGGUCGCAAGACUGAAACUCAAAGGAAUUGACGGGACCCCGCACAAGUAGCGGAGCAUGUGGUUUAAUUCGAAGCAACGCGAAGAACCUUACCAGGUCUUGACAUCCUCUGACAGCGUUAGAGAUAGCGAAUUCCUUUCGGGGACAGAGAGACAGGUGGUGCAUGGUU
RNAcentral lists this ribosomal RNA (520 nucleotides) under uncultured bacterium. RNAcentral's name for it is "bacterial SSU rRNA". It matches the Rfam family "Bacterial small subunit ribosomal RNA", at positions 524 to 1050 of the family's 1533-position model. The record is from RNAcentral.